RNAcentral lists this ribosomal RNA (392 nucleotides) under uncultured bacterium. RNAcentral describes it as "partial 16S ribosomal RNA". It matches the Rfam family "Bacterial small subunit ribosomal RNA", at positions 523 to 917 of the family's 1533-position model. The record is from RNAcentral.
AUACGGAGGAUGCGAGCGUUAUCCGGAUUUAUUGGGUUUAAAGGGUGCGCAGGCGGGCGAUUAAGUCAGCGGGGAAAGGCUCGGGCUCAACCGGAGCAGUGCCGUUGAUACUGGUUGUCUUGAAUGCGGUCAAGGCCGGCGGAAUGUGGCGUGUAGCGGUGAAAUGCAUAGAUAUGCCACAGAACACCGAUAGCGAAGGCAGCUGGCCGGGCCUGCAUUGACGCUGAGGCACGAAAGCGUGGGGAUCGAACAGGAUUAGAUACCCUGGUAGUCCACGCUGUAAACGAUGGACACUCGUUGUCGGCGACAGACAGUCGGCGGCCAAGCGAAAGUGAUAAGUGUCCCACCUGGGGAGUACGGUCGCAAGGCUGAAACUCAAAUGAAUUGACGGG